UCUACCAGGCCCGCGUUUUUAGUGUUACGAGGAAUCUACCAGGUCUGCGUUUUUAGAAUUACAACGAAUUUACAAGGAAUAUUUACGACGAAUUUACAAGGAAAAUUUUACGACGACUUUACAAGGAAAGCUUUACAAUGAAAUUACAAGGAAAACAUUACAACGAAUUUACAAGGACACAUGUAUUACGAGGAAUCUACCAG
This 203-nucleotide long non-coding RNA is filed under the name Brassica napus (rape). Its description in RNAcentral is "long non-coding RNA (BNAP_LNC025166)". Lineage: Eukaryota; Viridiplantae; Streptophyta; Magnoliopsida; Brassicales; Brassicaceae. The record is from RNAcentral.